Sorghum bicolor (sorghum) is the source of this 425-nucleotide long non-coding RNA. RefSeq lists it as uncharacterized. NCBI's taxonomy places the organism in Eukaryota, Viridiplantae, Streptophyta, Magnoliopsida, Poales, Poaceae. The transcript has 2 exons. The record is from RefSeq and is a predicted model, not a curated record.
UACAUCCACAAACCAGCCCGAUCAUAAACAACAUUUCUAGUAGUUAACAAACAUGAGGACUAGUACCCAAAUUAUUGUAAUGCUCCGCCUUAGCCUCGCCCUCCUAUUAGCACUCUCAUCAUCAGGAUUAUUAACGAAGGAGAAGGCACCAGAAGAAAGCGUCUACAAGCCUGAGUAUUAUGAGAACCAGUUUACCAUAUCGCGUCCCUACUGUGAUCUUGGGACUUGCAUCAACUUCUGCCAUUAUGCACGAUAUAAAACCGGAAACUGCGUGACAAACAUGUGCAUAUGCAAGAAUUCGCCGUAGAGAGGAAAGAAACUGAACGGCUAGAGAGGACUUGUGGACAGAUACAUAGUAUAUAGCGCUUGUAUUGGCAUUACAUGGUCUGUUAUGGCCUAAUAAUAAGAAAUAAUGUUACUGUCCA